RNAcentral lists this ribosomal RNA (796 nucleotides) under uncultured bacterium. Its description in RNAcentral is "bacterial SSU rRNA". It matches the Rfam family "Bacterial small subunit ribosomal RNA", at positions 28 to 776 of the family's 1533-position model. The record is from RNAcentral.
AACGAACGCUGGCGGCGUGCCUAACACAUGCAAGUCGAACGAGAAAGUCCUUCGGGGCGAGUAGAGUGGCGCACGGGUGAGUAAUGCAUGGGAACGUACCUAUAGGUGGGGGAUAACCACGGGAAACUGUGGCUAAUACCGCAUAGUCUCGAAAGAGUAAAGGUGGCUUAAAACCCAUUAUCAAAACACUUUAUUAGCUUAGAGUGUUUGAGUAGUGGGUUUGCUAUCGCCAAUAGAUCGGCCCAUGUCCCAUUAGCUUGUUGGUGGGGUAAUAGCCUACCAAGGCUACGAUGGGUAGCUGGUUUGAGAGGAUGAUCAGCCACACUGGAACUGAGACACGGUCCAGACUCCUACGGGAGGCAGCAGUGGGGAAUAUUGCACAAUGGGGGAAACCCUGAUGCAGCAACGCCGCGUGAGUGAAGAAGGCUCUUGGGUCGUAAAGCUCUUUCGGCUGGAAAGAUGGAAAUUAAGGCGAAUAGUCUUAGCUUCUGACGGUACCAGAAGAAGAAGGACCUGCUAACUACGUGCCAGCAGCAGCGGUAAUACGUGGGGUCCAAGCGUUGUUCGGAAUUACUGGGCGUAAAGCGCGCGCAGACGGACAUGAUUGUCGGUUGUGAAAGCCCUGGGCUUAACCCAGGAAUUGCAGCCGAAACGUUAUGUCUUGAGUGCCUGAGAGGGUGGGGGAAUUCCUGGUGGAGUAGUGAAAUACGUAGAGAUCAGGAGGAACACCGGAGGCGAAAGCGCCUACCUGGCGGUGCACUGACGUUGAGGCGCGAAAGCGUGGGGAUCAAACAGG